GCCGGGAUAGCUCAGUUGGUAGAGCAGAGGACUGAAAAUCCUCCCUCGUGUCACCACUUGGCA
RNAcentral lists this transfer RNA (63 nucleotides) under Cucumis hystrix. RNAcentral describes it as "tRNA-Phe". It matches the Rfam family "tRNA". Rfam says of the family: Transfer RNA (tRNA) molecules are approximately 80 nucleotides in length. The record is from RNAcentral. Lineage: Eukaryota; Viridiplantae; Streptophyta; Magnoliopsida; Cucurbitales; Cucurbitaceae.